GAAUUAGCAAUAAUUAUAAAAAUAAUUUUUCGUUUUGAUUUGCUUAAUUUAGACAUGACAAACCUCUUAUUACAACCAUAGAAUCUGAGCUUU
RNAcentral lists this small nucleolar RNA (93 nucleotides) under Theobroma cacao (cacao). RNAcentral's name for it is "Small nucleolar RNA snoR8a". It matches the Rfam family "Small nucleolar RNA snoR8a". The record is from Rfam by way of RNAcentral. Lineage: Eukaryota; Viridiplantae; Streptophyta; Magnoliopsida; Malvales; Malvaceae.